RNAcentral lists this ribosomal RNA (429 nucleotides) under Chloroflexota bacterium. RNAcentral describes it as "Chloroflexi bacterium partial 16S ribosomal RNA". It matches the Rfam family "Bacterial small subunit ribosomal RNA", at positions 355 to 776 of the family's 1533-position model. Lineage: Bacteria; Bacillati; Chloroflexota. The record is from RNAcentral.
UGGGGAAUAUUGCACAAUGGGCGCAAGCCUGAUGCAGCCAUACCGCGUGUGUGAAGAAGGCCUUCGGGUUGUAAAGCACUUUCAGCGGGGAGGAAGGCGUUAAGGUUAAUAACCUUGGCGAUUGACGUUACCCGCAGAAGAAGCACCGGCUAACUCCGUGCCAGCAGCCGCGGUAAUACGGAGGGUGCAAGCGUUAAUCGGAAUUACUGGGCGUAAAGCGCACGCAGGCGGUCUGUCAAGUCGGAUGUGAAAUCCCCGGGCUCAACCUGGGAACUGCAUUCGAAACUGGCAGGCUAGAGUCUUGUAGAGGGGGGUAGAAUUCCAGGUGUAGCGGUGAAAUGCGUAGAGAUCUGGAGGAAUACCGGUGGCGAAGGCGGCCCCCUGGACAAAGACUGACGCUCAGGUGCGAAAGCGUGGGGAGCAAACAGG